UGUGAGAAUACUGCCACUGAUGGGAUUUCAAAUAAGAUAGAUACAUCUAAUAAGUUCACAAAUACCUUGAUUGCUCUAAAAUCUACACAGCUGGUCUCCACUAUUUCUCCCAACAUAGAGAUCAGACCAGAAGAUCUUUCAACUGUGGAAUCUACCGUGUCUUGCUUCCUUGGAGUAUCUAAAUUUGCUGAAUCUGAAUCCCAUGUUGACGCAUUAUUAGCUAUGCUCCGAGAAUGGGAGGGGCACUUUAGUAGGGAAGAAAUG
Molecule: unclassified non-coding RNA, 264 nt
Filed under: Hevea brasiliensis (rubber tree)
Lineage: Eukaryota; Viridiplantae; Streptophyta; Magnoliopsida; Malpighiales; Euphorbiaceae
Source: RNAcentral